UUGUAGCUUGGUCUAUAUCUGUACUUCAUUAAACCAGUUGUAGCUUGGUCUAUAUCAAUACUUCAUUAAACCAGUUGUAGCUUGGUCUAUAUCUAUACUUCAUUAAACCAGUUGUAGCUUGGUCUAUAUCUAUACUUCAUUAAUCCAGUUGUAGCUUGGUCUAUAUCUAUUAAACCAGUUGUAGCUUGGUCUAUAUCUGUACUUCAUUAAACCAGUUGUAUUUUGGUCUAUAUCAAUACUUCAUUAAACCAGUUGUAUUUUGGUCUAUAUCAAUACUUCAUUAAACCAGUUGUAUUUUGGUUAAUAUCUGUACAGUGAUAGCAGCAUACAGCAGUGAUAUCAGACUAGAGGUAGAGGUUAGCAGCAUACAGCAGUGAUAUCAGGCUAGAUGUUAGCGGCAUACAGCAGUGAUAUCAUGCUAGAGGUAGAGGUUAGCAGCAUACAGCAGUGAUAUCAGGCUAGAUGUUAGCAGGUUAGCGGCAUACAGCAGUGAUAUCAGGCUAGAGGUAGAGGUUAGCAGCAUACAGCAGUGAUAUCAGGCUAGAGGUAGAGGUUAGCAGCAUACAGCAGUGAUAUCAGGCUAGAUGUUAGCAGGUUAGCAGGAUACAGCAGUGAUAUCAGGCUAGAGGUAGAGGUUAGCAGGUUAGCAGCAUACAGCAGUGAUAUCAGGCUAGAUGUUAGCAGGUUAGCAGGAUACAGCAGUGAUAUCAGGCUAGAGGUUAGCAGCAUACAGCAGUGAUAUCAGGCUAGAUGUUAGCAGGUUAGCAGCAUACAGCAGUGAUAUCAGGCUAGAUGUUAGCAGGUUAGUAGGAUACAGCAGGGAUAUCAGACUAGAGGUAGAGGUUAGCAGCAUACAGCAGUGAUAUCAGGCUAGAGGUAGAGGUUAGCAGCAUACAGCAGUGAUAUCAGGCUAGAGCCAAGACAGUCUGUUAGGUUUAGUCUGCUGAACACCUUCAUCUCACGGUGAAUGCAGUCAUAGAACUAGAUCUUCUGUAAAACAUCACCUUGAUGUAUUUUACUUUAAUUAUCAAGGUCUUCUAUGCUCCCCAGUCUCAGUCGGUGGAUAGUUUUCGUUAGUUAGCUACUAACCAGUUAAAAUGUGAUUGUGUGUAACGGCUGUGUGAAGAAGUAGACCAAGGUGCAGCGUGUUGAGUGAUCAUAUUUCAUUUUAAUCGAGACACUUUG
RNAcentral lists this long non-coding RNA (1185 nucleotides) under Salmo salar (Atlantic salmon). Its description in RNAcentral is "lncRNA (ENSSSAG00000109182.1)". The record is from RNAcentral. Lineage: Eukaryota; Metazoa; Chordata; Actinopteri; Salmoniformes; Salmonidae.